GCUGCAAUAUGAUUAUUCUCUAUAUCAUUCUCUGAAUGUGGGUAAAUUUACAUUUUACAUUUACAUUACAGAUUAUUUUACGCUGGGUUCUGGAGCACUAGAUGAAGUGAAUGAUUGGAUUCGGGCUCCAGCCGUCUACCUCUUCCAUUUAUUUGAAGGUCUGCUGGAUUUGGUGAUUCUCCAACCUCUGGAAAUAAUCAGUGGAGCAGUUGAAUUAAUUGUAGAUCUAACAAUGACCGUCCUGAACACUGUCUCGAGUGUGUUCAAGAGUGCUGGAGCUUGGAUCCCUUCUAUCGGCCUGAGUCCAGUGGACUUAGCCAGCAGUGCUCUGGAAGGAGCUGGAAACCUCAAAAGUGCCCUCUUCACCCACAUAUCCAGCCUGUUUUCUGGAGAUGAAGGUAUGCAAAGCUAUUGAAAAAUGAGAUAUAAGUUUUAGAAUGGCUUUACCUUCAUGAGAACUGUAUUUUGGUCCCAUUUGUAUUCUGAGAGUCCACUAUAGAUUAUUUACUAAUGAUCAAACUGCCUACUGAAGCUGCUGAUUAUGUAUAAUAUUGGUUUUAGAUGGUUGGUUUCAU
Molecule: long non-coding RNA, 575 nt
Filed under: Astyanax mexicanus (Mexican tetra)
Lineage: Eukaryota; Metazoa; Chordata; Actinopteri; Characiformes; Acestrorhamphidae
Description: lncRNA (ENSAMXG00005015988.1)
Source: RNAcentral